GAUGAAGAACGCAGCGAAAUGCGAUAAGUAAUGUGAAUUGCAGCAUUCAGUGAAUCAUCGAAUCUUUGAACGCACCUUGCGCUCCUUGGUAUUCCGAGGAGCAUGCCUGUUUGAGUGUCAUGAAAUUCUCAACCUUUUCAGCUUUCUUUGUUGAUCAGGCUUGGAUGUGGGAGUAUGCGGGCUUCUCAGAAGUCGGCUCUCCUGAAAUGCAUUAGCGGGACCUUUGUUGCCUGGCUUUGGUGUGAUAAUUAUCUACGCCAUUGUAGUCAAGCAGCUUAAAAUGAGGUUUCAGCUUCUAACAGUCUCCCCUGAGACAACUUUUUGACAAUUUGACCUCAAAUCAGGUAGGACUACCCGCUGAACUUAAGCAUAUCAAUAAGCGGAGGA
This 387-nucleotide unclassified non-coding RNA is filed under the name soil metagenome. RNAcentral describes it as "partial contains 5.8S ribosomal RNA, internal transcribed spacer 2, and large subunit ribosomal RNA". The stretch from base 1 to 120 matches the Rfam family "5.8S ribosomal RNA", at positions 35 to 154 of the family's 154-position model. The record is from RNAcentral.